This 492-nucleotide ribosomal RNA is filed under the name uncultured bacterium. Its description in RNAcentral is "partial 16S ribosomal RNA". It matches the Rfam family "Bacterial small subunit ribosomal RNA", at positions 29 to 507 of the family's 1533-position model. The record is from RNAcentral.
AGUGAACGCUGGCGGUAGGCCUAACACAUGCAAGUCGAACGGCAGCACAGUAAGAGCUUGCUCUUACGGGUGGCGAGUGGCGGACGGGUGAGGAAUACAUCGGAAUCUACUUUUUCGUGGGGGAUAACGUAGGGAAACUUACGCUAAUACCGCAUACGGCCUACGGGUGAAAGCAGGGGAUCUUCGGACCUUGCGCGAUUGAAUGAGCCGAUGUCGGAUUAGCUAGUUGGCGGGGUAAAGGCACACCAAGGCGACGAUCCGUAGCUGGUCUGAGAGGAUGAUCAGCCACACUGGAACUGAGACACGGUCCAGACUCCUACGGGAGGCAGCAGUGGGGAAUAUUGGACAAUGGGCGCAAGCCUGAUCCAGCCAUACCGCGUGGGUGAAGAAGGCCUUCGGGUUGUAAAGCCCUUUUGUUGGGAAAGAAAAGCAGCAGGUUAAUACCCCGCUGUUCUGACGGUACCCAAAGAACAAGCACCGGCUAACUUCGUG